RNAcentral lists this long non-coding RNA (1566 nucleotides) under Androctonus crassicauda. Lineage: Eukaryota; Metazoa; Arthropoda; Arachnida; Scorpiones; Buthidae. The record is from RNAcentral.
UGCAGCCCGUGGUUGGAAAUGGCCCCGCUCCUUAGUGAUCUCCCUGAUUGAAAAAGGGCGUAAAAUAUGCAAAAAAUAUCUUCGUUGGUUAAAUCAAGGAGAGUUAAAUAUAACUGAACAGGCUCGACAGCAAUACGCGCUAAUCUCAUCAGUCGCCAUUUAUUUUUUUUAACAAUUAUAAUUUGCGUCACUUUUCUCGAGAAGAUACAAUGUUUAUUGGGAAAUGUAUUUGAGAAAGAGAAUUACAUCGAUAACGAAAUUGUGGUCAGGACGAAUUGGAUCGAAAGUUGCGAGUGAUCGAGAAGCACGCUAGGGAUAAAAAUCUGACAAUUUUUUGAAUUAGUGUCGGUAUGCGCUAGUGGUAAUGCGAUGUAUGGAAAUGGCACUUAUAUAUAGUGUGAAAGGUAUAAAAAGCGUACGGAUGAAGUGGAAGCGAGAUACGUGAUCAAAAUGAGUGGAUCGAUGAUAUACGAUGUUCCUAAUGACAAAACAACAGGAGAGUGAAAUAAAAACCGUAUGAUCGAUGCAGUUAAUGGAAGUCAUCUCUGAGGUGUUUGAUGCGACAUCUAUCGAGCCAAUGGUAUGCGUAAAAGAGAGAAAUCAAAGAAUGAGAAGAACAAAUAGACAAGCAUUUAAAAUUAGAUUGUAUAAUCUGAAUAUUUGAAAAGCGUAAACGUAUAAAAAGAGGAUAAUCGGAGAAAUUAAUAUAAGGACAGGAUCGUAUGGCAUCGUUGGAUUAAUAUGGGUAUACGUUUGCCUUCGAUUAUCAUCUGUCCUCUGGUCAGGAUAAGUCACAACGGUGACGAUUAUUUUUUCAUCAUUAGUAUUUCGAUUAAUUCUCGACUUUCCCCGAUUUAAGAGCCAGGAGACCGGAGAAAUGUAAAUCCGAGAAAUAUCAACAACUCCAACGGAAAGAAACGGUCGAGCGCGACUGGAUCCGAAAGUGUGACCUACAUUCUAAAAUACCAUUUAAUUGCAUAAACAACAACAAAAAUAUCGCUUGGGUAAUUAGCAUUAACUAUAGCCGGAAAGCCUAAAAAGGUAGGGAAUUUAAAGAAAAUCUAAAUAAGCCUUCUGGUAGAACGGAACGGUACUAAGAUUUUCGUCCGAAAUAUGGGGCGGAAGGUGGAUCCCGUACCCGCACGUUUGUUUAAUGGACUGUCGUUCCCACUUUCUCCCAACGAGCAACCCAAUGGAAUAAUGAACGUGAACCCAGGGCACCGGAUUGAUCCUCGAUUAAUAACAGUAAUUGGAAAGCGUCCUAUACUUGACGACAGCAUCGGAAGCCAGUAUCGAGUCUAUGGAAGCGGCGUAAUACAAACUUUUCUGACGGUAUAAAUGCGCACGGAACAGUCGAUUUCGGUAUAAAAGGUAACGUCAGUAAUAACGAUGUUUAUUUUUAUGUAAUUUGGGUUGGGGGUACCGCAUUUGGGUUUACAGUUAUCAAUUUCGAAUAAACAUUCGAUUCAGUUUACUUGGUUUGACGGCUAAUUAUGCAGUCUUUCGAGAAUGAUUUAAAAUUACAACUCUCCGCCAUUUUGUAACUGUUAGAAUCGAUUAGAGCGC